GGAGGCAGCAGUGGGGAAUAUUGCACAAUGGGCGAAAGCCUGAUGCAGCGACGCCGCGUGGGGGAUGACGGUCUUCGGAUUGUAAACCCCUUUCAGUAGGGACGAAGCGCAAGUGACGGUACCUGCAGAAGAAGCACCGGCUAACUACGUGCCAGCAGCCGCGGUAAUACGUAGGGUGCGAGCGUUGUCCGGAAUUACUGGGCGUAAAGAGCUCGUAGGCGGUUUGUCACGUCGUCUGUGAAAUCCCUCGGCUUAACCGGGGGCGUGCAGGCGAUACGGGCAGACUUGAGUACUACAGGGGAGACUGGAAUUCCUGGUGUAGCGGUGAAAUGCGCAGAUAUCAGGAGGAACACCGGUGGCGAAGGCGGGUCUCUGGGUAGUAACUGACGCUGAGGAGCGAAAGCAUGGGUAGCGAACAGGAUUAGAUACCCUGGUAGUCCAUGCCGUAAACGGUGGGCGCUAGGUGUGGGGUCCUUCCACGGACUCCGUGCCGUAGCUAACGCAUUAAGCGCCCCGCCUGGGGAGUACGGCCGCAAGGCUAAAACUCAARGGAAUUGACGGGGGCCCGCACAAGCGGCGGAGCAUGUGGAWUAAKUYGAUGCAACGCGAAGAACCUUACCUAGGCUUGACAUAUACAGGACGACGGCA
This 648-nucleotide ribosomal RNA is filed under the name Dietzia sp. RNAcentral describes it as "bacterial SSU rRNA". It matches the Rfam family "Bacterial small subunit ribosomal RNA", at positions 344 to 1003 of the family's 1533-position model. Lineage: Bacteria; Bacillati; Actinomycetota; Actinomycetes; Mycobacteriales; Dietziaceae. The record is from RNAcentral.